UCAAGUCAUCAUGGCCUUUAUGCCCAGGGUGUCACACGUGCUACAAUGGGGUGGUACAGAGCGACGCAAGACCGUAAGGUGGAGCAAAUCGCAGAAAACACCCCUCAGUUCGGAUUGAGGUCUGCAACUCGACCUCAUGAAGCUGGAAUCGCUAGUAAUCGCGUAUCAGCCAUGACGCGGUGAAUAUGUUCCUGAGCCUU
RNAcentral lists this ribosomal RNA (200 nucleotides) under uncultured organism. Its description in RNAcentral is "partial small subunit ribosomal RNA". It matches the Rfam family "Bacterial small subunit ribosomal RNA", at positions 1185 to 1382 of the family's 1533-position model. The record is from RNAcentral.